AACGAACGCUGGCGGCAGGCUUAACACAUGCAAGUCGAGCGCCUCGCAAGAGGAGCGGCAGACGGGUGAGUAACGUGUGGGAAUCUACCCUUGGGUUCGGAAUAACUCAGAGAAAUUUGAGCUAAUACCGGAUGAUGUCGCAAGACCAAAGAUUUAUCGCCCAAGGAUGAACCCGCGUAGGAUUAGCUUGUUGGUGAGGUAAAAGCUCACCAAGGCGACGAUCCUUAGCUGGUCUGAGAGGAUGAUCAGCCACACUGGGACUGAGACACGGCCCAGACUCCUACGGGAGGCAGCAGUGGGGAAUAUUGGACAAUGGGCGAAAGCCUGAUCCAGCAAUGCCGCGUGAGUGAUGAAGGCCUUAGGGUUGUAAAGCUCUUUUACCCGGGAUGAUAAUGACAGUACCGGGAGAAUAAGCCCCGGCUAACUCCGUGCCAGCAGCCGCGAUAAU
RNAcentral lists this ribosomal RNA (448 nucleotides) under uncultured bacterium. RNAcentral's name for it is "bacterial SSU rRNA". It matches the Rfam family "Bacterial small subunit ribosomal RNA", at positions 29 to 524 of the family's 1533-position model. The record is from RNAcentral.